Tachyglossus aculeatus (Australian echidna) is the source of this 800-nucleotide long non-coding RNA. RefSeq lists it as uncharacterized. The transcript is spliced from 5 exons. NCBI's taxonomy places the organism in Eukaryota, Metazoa, Chordata, Mammalia, Monotremata, Tachyglossidae. The record is from RefSeq and is a predicted model, not a curated record.
GCCACCAUGUUGGGAAUGACAAAAUCAUGGUUCAUGGCGUUGGCAAGCACAAAUUGUGAGAUAAGUUCUUCUGAGCCACCAAGAAGGGUCUAGACACACAGGCAUCAUGGUCACAACCCUGUGGACAUGGGAUAUGCAAUUAACGACAGGAAUGGGGUACCGCAAGAGGACUGCAGCAUUUCUGAUGUUCAGCAGGAGUUGAGUGGAUCGUGCAGCUUGUGGAGAUGGGAAACAGAUGAUCAAGAGAUGAAGGCAUCCUGUCUGAUCUAAUGCUCAUUUCCAGUGAGGAAAAGCAGGGCGGGGUAAUAGAUCUGGUGUUGUCCAAUUUAGUCCAUCCAGUCGGAGUGGAAGAUGGUGUCAGAAAACUUUUCCAACCUACUAGGAAACUUCUUCAACAGUGAGGGAGAACCUCAAUAUAUCCGAAGAUCUCAAACCAAAUGUCACAGAAAUCUGCAGUCUAGAAAGCAUUUUGACCAAGGAUGAGGAACUGGACAAAAACACAGCAAACAGAAUCAACAAGGUCACUCUCAACAACAAGCGGGAUCACGCCACAUGAGGUGUUGGAAUGAAGCCUUUCCGCUACUAGAAGCGAAACUCUACUCCUAUCCGGGCAGCCUGGCUGGAAGAGAAGAAUGAUUGACAGUAGGAUUUCCAAACAGCUGUUCUAUUGAUAUUCCUGGCUAAUUUGGAAGCUUCAUGAAGACAGGAAUGAGUCCCACCGAUAUCAAGCCACUGGAGAAAUUGUAGGGCAUUCUAAUCCUCCCUGCCCAGUCUUCUCAAGACUGUAAGCUCGUUAUGGG